GCUGCCUCCCGUUCACAAUAGGUUACACAGACUUUGCGCAGUGGCAGUAUCGUAGCCAAUGAGGUUUAUCCGAGGCGCGAUUAUUGCUAAUUGAAACAUAAUAGGUUACACAGACAAUUAAU
RNAcentral lists this small nuclear RNA (122 nucleotides) under Rattus norvegicus (Norway rat). The stretch from base 30 to 103 matches the Rfam family "U4 spliceosomal RNA". From Rfam's summary of the family: U4 small nuclear RNA (U4 snRNA) is a component of the major U2-dependent spliceosome. The structure of U4 snRNA from yeast and human has been reported. U4 snRNA presents a k-turn RNA motif in the 5p-SL related to recognition of Snu13 protein. Lineage: Eukaryota; Metazoa; Chordata; Mammalia; Rodentia; Muridae. The record is from RNAcentral.